GGAGGACGCUGCUGCUGGGCCCCGCUGGAGGAACGAACAGACAGGUUUUUGGAUUUUUCAAGAAACAUGAAGAGAAGAAGACGUAUCAAUCCAAAGGAUGAUGCCAGAUAUUAUGUCAGCACUGGAAAGGACAAACCAGGAUUUGAUGUAAAACACAUUAGUGUUUUCAAAGGUCGUGGGAUCUUCACUACUGCCCCAUUCGAAAAAGGGGACUUCCUACUAGAGUACCAAGGUGAACUCAUUACCCAUCAG
This is a long non-coding RNA of Scomber japonicus (chub mackerel), 252 nucleotides long. RefSeq lists it as uncharacterized. The record is from RefSeq and is a predicted model, not a curated record. NCBI's taxonomy places the organism in Eukaryota, Metazoa, Chordata, Actinopteri, Scombriformes, Scombridae. The transcript has 3 exons.